GACGAACGCUGGCGGCGUGCUUAACACAUGCAAGUCGAACGGAAAGGCCCUGCUUUUGUGGGUUUCUCGAGUGGCGAACGGGUGAGUAACACGUGAGUAACCUCCCCUUGACUUUGGGAUAACUUCAGGAAACUGGGGCGAAUACCGGAUAUGAGCUCCUGCUGCAUGGUGGGGGUUGGAAAGUUUCGGCGGUUGGGGAUGGACUCGCGGCUUAUCAGCUUGUUGGUGGGGUAGUGGCUUACCAAGGCUUUGACGGGUAGCCGGCCUGGGAGGGUGACCGGCCACAAUGGGACUGCGAUACGGCCCAGAGUCCAACGGGCGGCAACAGGCGGGAGUAUUGCACAAUGGGCGGAAGCCUGAUGCAGCAACGCCGCGUGCGGAAUGACGGCUUUCGGGUUGUAAACCGAUUUCGCCUGUGACGAAGCGUGAGUGACGGUAAUGGGUAAAGAAGCACCGGCUAACUACGUG
Molecule: ribosomal RNA, 468 nt
Filed under: uncultured bacterium
Lineage: Bacteria
Description: partial 16S ribosomal RNA
Rfam family: Bacterial small subunit ribosomal RNA
Source: RNAcentral